CAGCCGCCGCGGUAAUACGUAGGUGGCAAGCGUUGUCCGGAAUCAUUGGGCGUAAAGCGCGCGCAGGCGGUCCUUUAAGUCUGAUGUGAAAUCUUGCGGCUCAACCGCAAGCGGUCAUUGGAAACUGGGGGACUUGAGUGCAGGAGAGGAAAGCGGAAUUCCAUGUGUAGCGGUGAAAUGCGUAGAGAUAUGGAGGAACACCAGUGGCGAAGGCGGCUUUCUGGCCUGUAACUGACGCUGAGGCGCGAAAGCGUGGGGAGCAAACAGGAUGAGAUACCCGGGUAGUCCACGCCGUAAACGAUGAGUGCUAAGUGUUGGAGGGUUUCCGCCCUUCAGUGCUGCAGCUAACGCAUUAAGCACUCCGCCUGGGGAGUACGGUCGCAAGACUGAAACUUAAAGGAAUUGGCGGG
RNAcentral lists this ribosomal RNA (410 nucleotides) under uncultured microorganism. RNAcentral describes it as "bacterial SSU rRNA". It matches the Rfam family "Bacterial small subunit ribosomal RNA", at positions 509 to 917 of the family's 1533-position model. The record is from RNAcentral.